Raphanus sativus (radish) is the source of this 2192-nucleotide long non-coding RNA. RefSeq lists it as uncharacterized. NCBI's taxonomy places the organism in Eukaryota, Viridiplantae, Streptophyta, Magnoliopsida, Brassicales, Brassicaceae. The record is from RefSeq and is a predicted model, not a curated record. The transcript is spliced from 5 exons.
GGCAAAUAUACUCCACUCUAAAGUUGUCCACGUCAGAUCAAUAAAUCAACCAAUAAGGAAUUGUUGUUUUUCCCCGUCACGCAUUCUAUUAAUCGUAAUGAGCUACUGAUUUAUGUCAAUUGGCCCAGCUGCUGAUCUAUUUCAAUUGGCCCAGCCUUAACAAAACCAGCCGCCUUCGUCUCUUCCAAUUCCUUUUUUGUUACGACAUUCGUCUCUUCCAAUUCAUCAGAAUCAAUUCGCCGUUUCUAUUAUAUUAAUCAUCAUCCACUCCCAUUCAUUCAAUAACGUUCUUCAAUCCUUCUAAUCAGAUGCAUCCUUCCACCUCCUUGUGUUUCUUCUCAUAUAUAAAUCCUUUUGUAUCAGUUCACAUUGAACCAUAUUCUAAAUCCUCCAUAAGACAACAUUGAUCGACCAGCCAUGAUACCCGAUCAUGCUUCCAGGAAUCUACUAAUUCGCCCUCAUCAAUGAACAGCAAGCUUCAUCUCAUCUAAUCGUGCUCCACGAUACGGCUUCAACUCAAACCAGGAGUAGAUCAACUGUGUUUACAAAGGAUGCAGUCUACGAUGAUCAAUCAGUAAUCUCAGAGAGGGAGGUAGUCAUUGUUAUAUCCACUCUUUGAUUUGUGUCUCUCAAUGUUCUGUUAUGGUAUUUUCCUAUUUUUCCUAACACUCAUUGGCCAUAAAGUUUUGGAUGAAUUUCUAAUGUUUUCUUUACCACCAAAAAAAUCAUGGCAAGGUCAAGCUCGGCUCUUACCUAUGUUUCUUGGUGCUUGCUUAUAUUGGUUCUUUUUCUUCAUGAUCAAUUGUGGGUUUCAAAUAUAUAUGAGUGUUGCCUAUUGUUUUUGUUUUGCACUUCUGUUGUGCAGAUUACUUGGACGGACUUAGCCAAAGCUAUUGGUGACUACCUCCUUCAGUCAAUAGGUGGUUACAUGUCUAUGGACAUGUUUAUUAAAAGUGUGUACGCAUAUCUGACUUUGAUAUCUUCGGGGUCUGCUAGAAAUUACGGACUUUCUCUUUUAUGUUUUCGUACCUCUUCUACAUGGUUGAUUGGGCAAGUAAAUGGAGAAUAGUGCAGAAAGAAUAGGAAAAUAUGAUUAAUAUUUUAGUGAUCGUAAAUCCUCUUUAAAAAAAAAAAUCGAUCUGCUUUUCAGCUUAUGACCGAGAGAUUAAAGCCGGUGCUUUUCUAAGGAUUACCAAGCGCAUGGGGUUUGGAGUACAUGGUGGUUUAACUGUGCAGUAUUUUCUCUUAUCUCUCAGUUUCCUUAGCCGGUUAGUACAAAUGACUAUCAUCAUGGUCAUAGACAUGUGUGGUGAAGCUAACGUAAGUGUGAUCAAUAAUAAUCAGAUCUUUGUAUCAUUUUUGUCAUUAUUUGGUUGAUUUUACUGCUGAUCACAUCUGUUUUGGGCUCUAGAUGUAUUGCCAGUGUGUUUACAAUUUUUUACGUACACUUAAUAUUUUUCAUGUAUUACUCUCAUUUGUCAAGCUACUUUUAAUUUGACUGCAUAGUUUUUUAUUGAUGCCUUACUCUUAUUAACUCAGACAGACCUUCACCAGCAAUGGCUUCCAAGAAUUUGAAAGCGAAGGCAUCUCUCUCCCCACACGUAUUCUUUGAUGAUGUGGUUCCCGAAAUUUGCAUUGACACUUUGUGUCGGCUGUGGUGUAUGACCAUGGCGAUAUUUCUGGAGGGGUUUCCUCGAGUCCAAGAUCCGAAUCAAAGAUCGGAGGUAAUGAAUUGGAUGAGAGACAGGAGUUGAAGAAUACAAUUCUUAGCUCAAGUAAUUUACUGUUACUAUCCAUUUUUCGAACUCUUGCAGUCGGAGGAACUAACAAUUGAAAAGUUGCAGAGCAAGCAACUACAUCUAAUGUUUCACUUCCCGGACGUUUAAUAGCAGCAAAAGAACAAAUUGAUCUGGAAGAGAAUGCCCCAAAGAAAGCAGCUAAAGAACAAGUCCUUAUCGAUUAACGUUUUAGCAUCUUUCAACUUUGCUUACAUCUUUUUUUUAACACGUAACUUUGCUUACAUCUGUUUCUCUCUUUAAAAAAAACUUAGGGACGUGGUUAGGACGUGGUUAGGACGUGGUUGUUAUUUCUUUUAUCAUUGCAAUUUUUUUAACAAUAUGCAUCCACAUGUUUUGGAUUCAUAAGUUCUGUAGUCAUGUCAGUCUUCAUUAGUACGUUCACUCUAACCCACA